This 678-nucleotide long non-coding RNA is filed under the name Pogona vitticeps (central bearded dragon). Its description in RNAcentral is "lncRNA (ENSPVIG00000004259.1)". Lineage: Eukaryota; Metazoa; Chordata; Lepidosauria; Squamata; Agamidae. The record is from RNAcentral.
UUCUAAGAUGAUGAUGGAGCUCAACAUUUCUUGGGAACCUGAACUGGUAAAGUCUCCUCCUAAUUUCUACCACCUCGUUUGUUUUGGUUAAUUAAACUGUCAGAAAGGGGAAGAUAUUUACCUGUCGCUCACUUCAGGUACAGAUGAAACAUCAGCCUGCAGAUAGGUAGCUGCUCAAUUACUAUAAUUGCUUUUAUUUAUUCCCUCUUUUUUCCCUGUGUUACCCAUUGCUUUCUUCUCUCCCAGGACUGUGACUCUCCUUCCAACAUGUGCUUGGUAGGGUCAAGGAUGGGAGCCUGGACAGCUACUUUUUGAAAAUAAUUGCAGUUACACUUUUGAGACCAGCGUUUCAUCACUGGGACCACUGCAUUUAAAGGAAUUCUUCUUUGAAAAUGACUAAAAUCUUGAUAGCAAACAAAGGAGGAGGAGAAAGGACGUCAGCGCCUGGUUGCCGCAUCACUGAAGACCAAGAGAAUCUGGUUGAACAUAAAGGAAGUGAAGCCCAGACUUUGUAAAAUAAAGGAUUCAGGCGCAUGGAUCUGGACCACUGAAUCUGUGAUGACCUAUUAAAUGCUAUACCCAAAUUAGCCCGUGGGAUUUCCUUGGCGAGUGAACAGCUCCCGUCGAAUGCAGACCAAAGUAAAUAAAAUAAUUAACAACUGGAAUAGGAGAGGAAGC